This 497-nucleotide ribosomal RNA is filed under the name uncultured bacterium. RNAcentral's name for it is "partial 16S ribosomal RNA". It matches the Rfam family "Bacterial small subunit ribosomal RNA", at positions 28 to 507 of the family's 1533-position model. The record is from RNAcentral.
GAUGAACGCUGGCGGCGUGCCUAAUACAUGCAAGUCGAGCGAACGGCCGAGAAACUUGCUUCUCUGAUGUUAGCGGCGGACGGGUGAGUAACACGUGGAUAACCUACCUAUAAGACUGGGAUAACUUCGAGCCACCGGAGCUAAUACCGGAUAAUCUUUUGAUCCGCAUGGUUCAAAAUUGAAAGACGCUCUUGCUGCAACCUAUAGCUGGCUCCGCGCUGCAUUAGCUAGUUGGUAAGGUAACGGCUUACCAAGGGAACGAUGCAUAGCCGACCUGAGAGGUUGAGCGGCCACACUGGAACUGAGACACGGUUCUGACUCUUAAGUGGGGCAGCAGUAUGGAAUUGUCCGCAAUGAUCGUCAGCCUGACUGGGCCACGCCGCGCGAGUGAUGAAGGUCCUCGAAUCGUAAAAAUCUGAGACGAGGGAAGAACAUAUGUGUAUGUAACGGGGCAUAACAUGCCCGAUGCAACUCAGAGAGCCACGACUAAGUAACUG